AGCAGCCGCGGUAAUUCCAGCUCCAAUAGCGUAUAUUAAAGUUGUUGCAGUUAAAAAGCUCGUAGUUGAAUUUCGGGGUCAGCAAGUUGGUCGUGCCACCGGUAUGCACUGGCUUUGCUGAUUCCUCCUUCUUGUAGAACCGUAAUGCCAUUAAGUUGGUGUUGCGGGGAAACAGGACUGUUACUUUGAAAAAAUUAGAGUGUUUAAAGCAGGCUAAGGCUUGAAUACAUUAGCAUGGAAUAAUGAAAUAGGACGACGAUCCUAUUUUGUUGGUUUCUAGGAUUGACGUAAUGAUUAAUAGGGAUAGUUGGGGGCAUUAGUAUUCAAUUGUCAGAGGUGAAAUUCUUGGAUUUAUUGAAGACUGACUACUGCGAAAGCAUUUGCCAAGGAUGUUUUCAUUAAUCAGGAACGAAAGUUAGGGGAUCGAAGACGAUCAGAUACCGUCGUAGUCUUAACCAUAAACUAUGCCGACUAGGGAUCGGAUGAUGUUAAUUUUAUAAUGACUCA
This 507-nucleotide ribosomal RNA is filed under the name uncultured organism. Its description in RNAcentral is "SSU rRNA". It matches the Rfam family "Eukaryotic small subunit ribosomal RNA", at positions 569 to 1078 of the family's 1831-position model. The record is from RNAcentral. RNAcentral also lists the same sequence under 1 other name.